Molecule: long non-coding RNA, 1255 nt
Organism: Lutzomyia longipalpis
Lineage: Eukaryota; Metazoa; Arthropoda; Insecta; Diptera; Psychodidae
Exons: 4
Source: RefSeq, a predicted model, not a curated record
AUUUUUAAUGUUGUGGGAGUCAAACGCGGGAUCUGACCUUUUUUGAAAUUCCUCGUUUAUUAUCUUUGCUACGUUUCGGAGCUUUAUUUCUCCUUCCUCAGGCCUGAAAAAACAUUAAUGGACAAUAUUUUUUCUUUCACAUUUUAUUUUUUUUUUAUUUUCACGUUCAAUAAGAAUUGUUUUCUUGCAAUAUUUCAGAAAAAAAAUGCCGGAUGAGAAAAUUAUUUGAUGCAUCGAUUUUGUGAUGAUCCGGAGCUGAUUUUCUAGAGCCUAGAACAGCCAGCAGAACCCCAAAAAAAACGAAGUCAAAGUGUCUUCUGCCUGUAAUUUUAUAGUCAAAUAUUUUUCAAUUGAUCUUCCCAGCGGAAACAGGAACAUAAACUCUUCAAUGUGACUUUUCUUCACCAUCAAAGGGCAAAAUGUGUGAGCGAUCACUUGAGAGAGGGAACGAUCACCAUAAGAAAUUACUGAUCACUUGCCGUGUUGUCUGUAAGAAGCGAAAGGAAAGCGGAGAACCACGUUCAGGCACAUCUUGUCGCGCCAACAGUUCGAGACUAAUUUCUGAGCGAGAUACAUAUUCUCUGCGAGACUGUGGGCGCUCAAAGUGGAUGAAACAUUGGUCGUGUUGGUGGGAUCUCAUUUUUUCCCCUUAACUCUUUUAUUCCUUGGAGGGAUAAAGAGGAAGGACAAUAGAGAUCCAAAGGAUUAACCACUUGUUUGAAGCUGGAUUUCCCAUUUCCCAGAUUUAUUUUAAAUUAAUUUUCCUACAAUAUCCAGGAGAAAAUUCAUCUUCUCGUGAUCUCUUACUUAAGCCAUCCAGCAUGUGGGUAAGUUGAGAAGAAGAAAAAAAAACUGUGAGACAGCAUUAGAUAAACAUUAUAAAGGAGAAGAAUGUACAUAUGUGGAAACAAUUAUACACAAGAGUGCUCCAUUCGUUCAUUCAUAAAAUGAUAAAAUAGCAUUCAUUCCCCGCCAACAUACAAUCCAUGCCGAGUCUCCCCCCAUUUGUACACACAUUCAACCCAAAAGCAAUUGAUGCACAAAUACAACGUGACUGUUUACACCGUGCAAAUAGUAACAAAACUCCCCGACUUUGGGGCCCGAUUGUGCGCGCCACUUGAUCAUCAUGCGCACAAAUAAUUCAUCGGCUCCGUGGGCUUACCCAUCCUCCGUGUGCAGACAACGCGGUUAUUUUGUAAACAUUACUGACGAGAUAUCAAAGAGCACCAAAGCACCCACUGCUGUGCAAGAAUUG